GGUUAAGCGACUAAGCGUACACGGUGGAUGCCCUGGCAGUCAGAGGCGAUGAAGGACGUGCUAAUCUGCGAUAAGCGUCGGUAAGGUGAUAUGAACCGUUAUAACCGGCGAUUUCCGAAUGGGGAAACCCAGUGUGUUUCGACACACUAUCAUUAACUGAAUCCAUAGGUUAAUGAGGCGAACCGGGGGAACUGAAACAUCUAAGUACCCCGAGGAAAAGAAAUCAACCGAGAUUCCCCCAGUAGCGGCGAGCGAACGGGGAGGAGCCCAGAGCCUGAAUCAGUGUGUGUGUUAGUGGAAGCGUCUGGAAAGGCGCGCGAUACAGGGUGACAGCCCCGUACACAAAAAUGCACAUGCUGUGAGCUCGAUGAGUAGGGCGGGACACGUGGUAUCCUGUCUGAAUAUGGGGGGACCAUCCUCCAAGGCUAAAUACUCCUGACUGACCGAUAGUGAACCAGUACCGUGAGGGAAAGGCGAAAAGAACCCCGGCGAGGGGAGUGAAAAAGAACCUGAAACCGUGUACGUACAAGCAGUGGGAGCACGCUUAGGCGUGUGACUGCGUACCUUUUGUAUAAUGGGUCAGCGACUUAUAUUCUGUAGCAAGGUUAACCGAAUAGGGGAGCCGAAGGGAAACCGAGUCUUAACUGGGCGUUAAGUUGCAGGGUAUAGACCCGAAACCCGGUGAUCUAGCCAUGGGCAGGUUGAAGGUUGGGUAACACUAACUGGAGGACCGAACCGACUAAUGUUGAAAAAUUAGCGGAUGACUUGUGGCUGGGGGUGAAAGGCCAAUCAAACCGGGAGAUAGCUGGUUCUCCCCGAAAGCUAUUUAGGUAGCGCCUCGUGAAUUCAUCUCCGGGGGUAGAGCACUGUUUCGGCAAGGGGGUCAUCCCGACUUACCAACCCGAUGCAAACUGCGAAUACCGGAGAAUGUUAUCACGGGAGACACACGGCGGGUGCUAACGUCCGUCGUGAAGAGGGAAACAACCCAGACCGCCAGCUAAGGUCCCAAAGUCAUGGUUAAGUGGGAAACGAUGUGGGAAGGCCCAGACAGCCAGGAUGUUGGCUUAGAAGCAGCCAUCAUUUAAAGAAAGCGUAAUAGCUCACUGGUCGAGUCGGCCUGCGCGGAAGAUGUAACGGGGCUAAACCAUGCACCGAAGCUGCGGCAGCGACGCUUAUGCGUUGUUGGGUAGGGGAGCGUUCUGUAAGCCUGUGAAGGUGUACUGUGAGG
RNAcentral lists this ribosomal RNA (1228 nucleotides) under Escherichia coli. Its description in RNAcentral is "partial 23S ribosomal RNA". It matches the Rfam family "Bacterial large subunit ribosomal RNA", at positions 1 to 1268 of the family's 2925-position model. The record is from RNAcentral. Lineage: Bacteria; Pseudomonadati; Pseudomonadota; Gammaproteobacteria; Enterobacterales; Enterobacteriaceae.